Molecule: transfer RNA, 72 nt
Filed under: Camelus ferus (Wild Bactrian camel)
Lineage: Eukaryota; Metazoa; Chordata; Mammalia; Artiodactyla; Camelidae
Rfam family: tRNA
About the family: Transfer RNA (tRNA) molecules are approximately 80 nucleotides in length. Their secondary structure includes four short double-helical elements and three loops (D, anti-codon, and T loops). Further hydrogen bonds mediate the characteristic L-shaped molecular structure. tRNAs have two regions of fundamental functional importance: the anti-codon, which is responsible for specific mRNA codon recognition, and the 3' end, to which the tRNAs corresponding amino acid is attached (by aminoacyl-tRNA synthetases). tRNAs cope with the degeneracy of the genetic code in two manners: having more than one tRNA (with a specific anti-codon) for a particular amino acid; and 'wobble' base-pairing, i.e. permitting non-standard base-pairing at the 3rd anti-codon position.
Source: Rfam by way of RNAcentral
GAGGGUAUAAUUCAGCGGUAGAGUGUGUGCUUAGCAUGCACAAGGUCCUGGGCUCAAUCUCCAGUGCCUCCA